UAUAGAGAUCAUAUUAUUUUCCCCAAGUCGCAAUGAUGGUAAACACAGAUGACAGCUGGACAUCAACUGGGUCUGGGUGGCCUCCAACUCCAGUGACUCAACGCUGCUCCACACGGCCUUCUUACAAGGAAAAAUGAGAACAGAGGCCGCAGGCCGGCUUCUGUGAAUCGCGUGUUGUUGGAAUUCCUGUCCUUCCUUGACCCAGAUUUGUAAACAGAGGCUGUGGAAGCCAAGAAAUGAAGAUUCUGAAGUACCUAGUGAGGAUUCUGACAUACCUAGAAUAUUUGGAUGGCUGCUGCUUGAAUGGAUGGCCUUGAGACACCUGAAGACCCUGAUGUGCCUUCUGAAUCAAACCAUGACUCAAUUACAUCCAUCAUUUAAUAACAACAAUUUUAGAAGGGUGUCCUGAAGGAGUACCAUAUUGAAUCCAGUGUUUAUGGGGCCUUCGUUUCAUGGGAUUGGAGUUGGAACCCAGAAUGGCAAAGUGACUCACCCACAGGUAUGCCCCGAGGCAACUUAGGAUUCUCUGAGUCCUCUACUGUCUCCUGCCCCUUGGAGUCUGGCCCUUCCAAGCUUCUCCUUGGGAAG
RNAcentral lists this long non-coding RNA (588 nucleotides) under Piliocolobus tephrosceles (Ugandan red Colobus). RNAcentral describes it as "lncRNA (ENSPTEG00000030697.1)". The record is from RNAcentral. Lineage: Eukaryota; Metazoa; Chordata; Mammalia; Primates; Cercopithecidae.